Molecule: ribosomal RNA, 619 nt
Filed under: uncultured bacterium
Lineage: Bacteria
Description: bacterial SSU rRNA
Rfam family: Bacterial small subunit ribosomal RNA (bases 1-521)
Source: RNAcentral
CCUACGGGAGGCAGCAGUGGGGAAUAUUGCGCAAUGGGCGAAAGCCUGACGCAGCAACGCCGCGUGGGGGAUGAAGGCCUUCGGGUUGUAAACCUCUUUCAGCAGGGAAGAAGCGAAAGUGACGGUACCUGCAGAAGAAGCACCGGCUAACUACGUGCCAGCAGCCGCGGUAAUACGUAGGGUGCAAGCGUUGUCCGGAUUUAUUGGGCGUAAAGAGCUCGUAGGCGGUUAGUCACGUCGGAUGUGAAAUCCCGGAGCUUAACUCCGGGCCUGCAUUCGAUACGGGCUGACUCGAGUGUUGUAGGGGAGACUGGAACUCCUGGUGUAGCGGUGAAAUGCGCAGAUAUCAGGAAGAACACCGGUGGCGAAGGCGGGUCUCUGGGCAACUACUGACGCUGAGGAGCGAAAGCGUGGGGAGCAAACAGGAUUAGAUACCCUGGUAGUCCACGCCGUAAACGGUGGGCGCUAGGUGUGGGGAACAUUCCUACGUCUCUGCGCGCAGCUACGCAUAGUCGCCCGCCGUCGGGAGGUACGGCCGGCGAACGGACGUAAACCGUUAAAACGGUAAAGUUAGUACGGCGUGAGACGUGCCGAACGGACGACCGACGAGGGAGGUAGG